RNAcentral lists this small RNA (686 nucleotides) under Arabidopsis thaliana (thale cress). Its description in RNAcentral is "ATSL044240". The record is from RNAcentral. Lineage: Eukaryota; Viridiplantae; Streptophyta; Magnoliopsida; Brassicales; Brassicaceae.
AAUAAGAUUUUAUUAGAGGAUAAUAAUAAAAAAUUAUGAUAGAAAUGAUUUUUUUGUAUGUGUCCGAAUGAAAUGAACUUAGAAAGUUAUGAAUUUUCAUAUAAAUAUUUUAAGAAACAUAUUUGCUACAUAAUAAUUGAUAGUAAAUAGAUAGGGUGAGAAAAAAAUCUCUAAAAUCUUAAUUGCAGUGUCAAUAUCUCAAUAAUUUCUUUGUUUUUGUCAGAAACAAAAACAAAAUAAAAAGUACUCUACUUGCUCAUUUGGUUCACACGCCUUUUAAUAACAUGGUGACAUGUGGCAUGCGCAUUGAAAAUAAAAUUCAAUAUGUUGAAUAGAUUCAAUACCCUAAAAUCCAUGUUGGUUUUUUCAGUUUUCAACAUCCCUAUUGGAUUAAUUAAACAGUUGAAACUUUUUUUCAAGAGGUCCAGUGCAAGUAGUCUUACAACACCCAGUUUUUUCAUUUUAACAUUCCAUAUCAUCUUCUCUCUUACACAUCAUUAUUUAACACCUAUAUUACUUUUACCCUCUACAAUAGUUUUGUUUAAUAAAACCACAACCCUUUACCUAACCAUUUUUGUGUCAUAUUUUUUUUUUAUGUUUAUGUUUUUUGUGAUUACAUAUUAUUAAUCAUCGUUAAUAUAAAAUAAAAUUAAAUUAAUUAAAUAUUACAUAAUUGUAUAAAAUAA